Molecule: long non-coding RNA, 834 nt
Organism: Thalassophryne amazonica
Lineage: Eukaryota; Metazoa; Chordata; Actinopteri; Batrachoidiformes; Batrachoididae
Exons: 2
Source: RefSeq, a predicted model, not a curated record
UAAAAGGAGGAAGACGCAGCUAUUCUUGAAGACAUUCAGUGUAGUGUUCGUUCGUUGCUGCAGCUUUGUGCGCUGUAUUUACGAAAAUGGCGUAAGAUCAGUGGUGAGACUUCAGCCAAACAUUCACAGAAAAACAUUCACAGAAAAACAAACGAAGCACACAAAGAAAGUCUGUUUGGGAUUCCUUUCACCCAGUGGCCAAAUCCUUCACUUGGUUUCCUGCAGGAGCAAGCAGUUUUGUGUUUAUGAUGGAGUCCUGGCCUCGUUGCAAAAGUGGAUAAAUCUGUUGCAAAGGCUGAAGCAUUAAUUGGAAAGUGUUCUGAAUCCAAAUAAACUGGCUUUUGAAUUUACCUGUUAAAGUGAAAAAGCUGAAAAUCUGACAGACCAAAGGCAGUGUCGUAUAUUAAGCAAUAUUUGGACAUAAAUGAUUAUCAGAAAAGGAUGACUUAGGCAUUUAUUUAUUUAAAUUAUAUGCCAACCAGAUAUGGCUUUUCUUUAUACUAAAGGUGUAUGCGUAUUCUGCUGAUAGUAAGUUGUCAUGGUGGUCUUGUAUGCCUGCCCAUCAAGCUUAGCUUCAAAGUUUCAAAUAACAUGUUUGCAUAUAGAUAGCUCAGUACAUCAGGUGAAAUAUUAGUUUUUUACUGUUCUUUCCAUCAUCACAUCUGACCCCUUCAUGGGGGUACAAAGUAAAUCAUAGAACCCCCUCACCCCCUUCUAUCUAGUUUCUCUUUUGUCCAUUUAUUCAUCAAUCUACUCUCAAAUCUUUCUAAAACUAUCGGGAGUUAAUUCAUAAAGCAGUUUUUUAAUCAAUCAUUCACUAAACCCUGGAUUUAA